AAAAACUUAGUUAAAAUAAUAACAUUAGUUUGUCACUCUAAAAUCAUUAAGUAAUUAAUAGUUUUUA
Molecule: transfer RNA, 67 nt
Filed under: Philonthus decorus
Lineage: Eukaryota; Metazoa; Arthropoda; Insecta; Coleoptera; Staphylinidae
Description: tRNA-Asp
Source: RNAcentral